Molecule: transfer RNA, 70 nt
Filed under: Hyphessobrycon flammeus
Lineage: Eukaryota; Metazoa; Chordata; Actinopteri; Characiformes; Acestrorhamphidae
Description: tRNA-Met
Rfam family: tRNA
About the family: Transfer RNA (tRNA) molecules are approximately 80 nucleotides in length.
Source: RNAcentral
GAUAAGAUCAGCUAACUUAAGCUAUUGGGCCCAUACCCCAAAAAUGAAAGUUAAAAUCUUUCUCUUAUGA